GAUCACAUUAUCUGACCUCAAAGCAAUUCAGUUGAACCCUACAGAGAUUAGUAUGUCCCCUGUGCAAAAAUGACACCCAAAUUCAUGAAGUAUUCCAUAUUUUU
Molecule: small nuclear RNA, 104 nt
Organism: Manis pentadactyla (Chinese pangolin)
Lineage: Eukaryota; Metazoa; Chordata; Mammalia; Pholidota; Manidae
Source: RefSeq, a predicted model, not a curated record